Molecule: long non-coding RNA, 1969 nt
Organism: Eleginops maclovinus (Patagonian blennie)
Lineage: Eukaryota; Metazoa; Chordata; Actinopteri; Perciformes; Eleginopidae
Exons: 4
Source: RefSeq, a predicted model, not a curated record
AACUAAAGAGAUCGUAAUGUCAAAUGACAGUACAAUUGACCAAUCAUAUCUUCCCUCUAAAUGGGUGGGCUUUAUUAUCGAGGACUCUAUGACAAGUUCCGCCCGCUGUCAAACUAAUGGGAAAAGUAGCUAGUUAGCAUCAGAGCUAACGUCAAUUAGAUGAGAACGCUGUCAUUUGAAUAGCGUUAAAUACAAAUUCUGAAGUUCCACAAAUGCAAGAAAACCGUGGAUUUGUGGAUCUUCAAGGAAUUUUGAGAAGCAUUUUAAUAUCAGCAGUUACACCCGAUACAACUGGAAGACAGGAUCGACAAGGUUUGAUCUGAAGGCUUCACUUCUGAGAGUGCUGUGCAUCAAUCACUUGAGAAGUGAAAUCAGAAGAAACAGUUCUACACAAGGAAGCUGACAAAAAUGCUGGGUUCUGAGGGAUUGGGGAUUUACAGCCGUCUGAACAUGAAAAAGAGCGUCUGGUUGAUGUGGUGAGUUGGCAAAGCAAGUAAGAACAUGGGAGGGAGACAUUUAUCAUCCUCGAGACUACAGAGCUGUAACUGCCUGCUUCAAAAUCCUGUGGAGAGUCAGCGGAAAAAAAAGAAAGGGAGAAAAUGCAAUGGUGAUUGCAUUACAAGGAUGACAUCGCUGCGAACCCACUGCUACGGUGUUUAAGUUUAGGGUGCUAAAAAUGUGAAUGCCUCACUUACAAUUUGGUCCAAUAACAAUAUCUAUCUUCUCUUGCUGUUAUUGUCAAAUGUUGGUGCGUUUGUAUAAUAUUUUCCUACAAAAGAUCUGUCAAACCAUGUAAACAUGAGGCUGGCAGCUAUGAUUCAUGGCUCCAUUUCUCCCAAAAUGAUAUCCUGCUUGUCAAAGGCCACGACAAGCACAUGUUUCAGCAUUGCACAUGUUUGCAUGCAACACGUUUCCACGACAAGUCAAUUCAUUUGAAAUUUCAGGCGUGAGAGCUACUGACUUUCUCUUUAGACUUUGACUGUUUGCCAGCUUGCCACUCUCUUUUUAAAAGGUUUGUCUUGUGUCUUUCUUUUGCUUUUUCCAAAACUUGUCUGGCCUGCUGUUUCGCGAUGUCCUGAGAUGAUCUGUUGUUGACUUUGAUUCAUGUGAAGGCAGAGAAGUGAGUGAGUGAUUGAAUCCUGGCCAGUCUGGGGUAGUUUCCCCUCUUAACAAAAAGAACAGAUAAUGUAAAAUGUCUUAAAUCAUACCAAGCCAAGUGUCUAACACAUAAACUGAACUUUGGUCUUUAUGUAACACUCUAUUCUUCCAGUACACAGGUCAGACCUUGAUGAAUUGUUGAAGCUAGGAUAGUACUUUUUCAAGAAUCUCUCUCACCAUCUCACCUCUGCUCUGAUUUUUAAUACUGCCCAAUAUCAUAUCCAUUAGGAUCAAGGAGGCCAGGUCUCCUAUCCAUCUCUCCAAGUGUCUGUUUAAGCUUGUGGCAUUUGAGAAUCCUUUCAAGUUUAAGUUGCAGAGUUGGCACUGUCAAGAACCUGCAGUUCAGAGUGUUUAAGUCUGGGCAUACACACUUCUGUGUUUCAGUUGUUUCAUUGAAAGUCUGGCAGUUACACUGCAAAACGUCUCCUUUUGACCCUAUUACCAAUAACAGGGAUUGUAUUUAAGAGUGUUUAAUUCAUAUUUUAUAUACUAGGAGUCAUUAAAAUAGAUGUUUUGUUUGCCUAUAUAUAUGGUUAUACAGUAUGUCUAAUAAAGAUUAAUUCAAGGUAUGAAAUUAUUUCUGCUAUUUCCAAGUGUAUUGGGUCCAAUCUUAACUGCAAAAAUACAUCCCCUGCACUGGACACCAGAAAAUAUGAACAAUAAUCAUUGCAUAAUAAAUUAUCAAGACAUUCAAAAUGUAUUGAAAUAGCUGUAGGUAUAAACAAUAGGUGUUCAUCCUGUAAAUCACAACAACCUUAACAAUGUAUAAAAAGAGGGCUCAGUGGGAACUAUUAGAACUAUUGUUCAAAAU